This is a long non-coding RNA of Cyanistes caeruleus (blue tit), 886 nucleotides long. RefSeq lists it as uncharacterized. The record is from RefSeq and is a predicted model, not a curated record. NCBI's taxonomy places the organism in Eukaryota, Metazoa, Chordata, Aves, Passeriformes, Paridae.
AUCCGGCGGCGGCCGUGGCCCGUCUCCGCGCGGGAGCGCAGCGGGAGCGCCGCUCCCGGGGCCGGGAUUCCUGCCCCUCGAGGUGUCAGAAACAGACCCUCCGGCAAAGCGUGGGGCUGAGGGAGCCUAAGGCAGCACGGCGGCAGCAGCCUGCUUAUUUUCGUCAACUGCCGUUGCAUAAUCCAUCAAAUCUGUUCUCCUCCUGGAUGAGCAUCGCUGCCAAUCAUGUCGUACCGCUCACCACCGUAAUUGCAGUACAGCCCUCGAGCAAGCCAGACAUAACUCUGAACGGCGACAUUAGAGGACAAGAAAUCCUCUCCAGUACUCCUAACCCUGCUAGAAGAGGAAAAUCAGAAUACAAGCUGCAGUCCUAAACCACCUCGUAAAAUACCUUGCUAUUUCAAGGGACACAAUUUUAGGAGCAAGGACCUAGUUCAUUGGUCUGAACCUCACUUUACUGCAAGUAAUCUUCCUGCCACUCUUCCCUGAAAGUUCUCCGUUCAGAAAGGCACCAUAAGCGAAGAAAAAAGCUUUUGUAAUAACUGACUCAGGAUGAAUAUUUUUCUGCAGUAUUGUCAGAAACAUGUUCAUGAAGAUGUAUGGGUAACCUACAGGUACAUGAGGAGAACAUGAACUGUAUAAUGCAAAAAGAAAAGAACAUAAUCAGGAUUGUUACAGAAAGCAGACAGAAUGUUUCAGAAAAUGAUGUGGAAGUUCUCUCUGGAAAUGAGUAUGCAUUUAAGUGGCUAAAACAGUGCUAAAGGAUCAAUUUCAUCAGUACGGUGAAACUGAGCCAUUGUCUGACAGGCUUAAGUACAAGAAAAAAUUUAAGGGAACUGGUGACAAUUAAAAUAUCAAAAUAAAAUUAUACCAAGGAAAAGCCCUC